GCCUUCGUAGUGUAGUGGUCAACACGUUGGACGCGUAUUCGAGAGGUCCUUGGUUCGAGUCCCGACUAAGGCA
Molecule: transfer RNA, 73 nt
Filed under: Stegodyphus mimosarum
Lineage: Eukaryota; Metazoa; Arthropoda; Arachnida; Araneae; Eresidae
Rfam family: tRNA
About the family: Transfer RNA (tRNA) molecules are approximately 80 nucleotides in length. Their secondary structure includes four short double-helical elements and three loops (D, anti-codon, and T loops). Further hydrogen bonds mediate the characteristic L-shaped molecular structure. tRNAs have two regions of fundamental functional importance: the anti-codon, which is responsible for specific mRNA codon recognition, and the 3' end, to which the tRNAs corresponding amino acid is attached (by aminoacyl-tRNA synthetases). tRNAs cope with the degeneracy of the genetic code in two manners: having more than one tRNA (with a specific anti-codon) for a particular amino acid; and 'wobble' base-pairing, i.e. permitting non-standard base-pairing at the 3rd anti-codon position.
Source: Rfam by way of RNAcentral